Molecule: ribosomal RNA, 355 nt
Filed under: Arthopyrenia fallaciosa
Lineage: Eukaryota; Fungi; Ascomycota; Dothideomycetes; Pleosporales; Arthopyreniaceae
Description: mitochondrial SSU rRNA
Source: RNAcentral
ACUUGGAGGAAUGAAAAUGAAAAAGUUAUAAAAAAAUAACAUUGUGUAUAAUGUUUAUCAUUAUAUAUAAUGUGAAAUAAUUGAUUAAUUUAAAUAUAAUUCUAGAUAAAAUAUUGAUAAUGACAGCUUUUAUCUAAAAGUCUUGACCAAAUCUUGUGCCAGCAGUCGCGGCAACACAAGGAAGACAAGUGUUAUUCAUCUUAAAUCGGUUUAAAGGGUACCUAGACGGUAAAUUAGGCCUAAAAGGCACGUUUUUACUAGAGUUAUACAUGCAGGAGGAAAAUGUCAGUAUUACCAGAGUAGAGAUAAAAUUUUUUGAUACUGUUAAGACUGGUAAAGGCAAAAGCAAACCUCU